This 72-nucleotide transfer RNA is filed under the name Ictidomys tridecemlineatus (thirteen-lined ground squirrel). Its description in RNAcentral is "Spermophilus tridecemlineatus (thirteen-lined ground squirrel) tRNA". It matches the Rfam family "tRNA". Rfam says of the family: Transfer RNA (tRNA) molecules are approximately 80 nucleotides in length. Their secondary structure includes four short double-helical elements and three loops (D, anti-codon, and T loops). The record is from Rfam by way of RNAcentral. Lineage: Eukaryota; Metazoa; Chordata; Mammalia; Rodentia; Sciuridae.
UGGGCUGUAGCUCAGUGGUGGAGCACUCAUCUGGCACAUGUGAGGCAUUGGGUUUGAUCCUCAGCACCACAU